UAUUGACAUAGUUUCAAUGAACUUUUGUCUUUGCAUUGCAUGAUUAUAGCUGAUCAGACUUUAGCUCUAGCAAGAUUAAUUUGCCUCAGACUUUUUGCAAUAUUUAUAAAGCUGCGUGUGAGGUAAAUUAAUCUUGCUAACAGUCUGAGUCUGAGUAUUAGCAAGAUUAAUAUCUACCUCAGACUAUUAGCUGAUCAGAGUUGAGUAUAAGCUGAUCCUGUGCUCAGGUGCUCAGGUGUACUCUUUUUGUGCUCUUUCAGGUGCUUUUAUUAAUCGUUAUAUAUACUGCCUGAUGCAAGUGUGCUAUAUGUAUUACCUUUUGACUCAGUCUGGCUUAGGUCAGUCCAGUAAAUAUGAAGUUAAUGCUGAAUGUCCUGUGCUCCAAACCCAAACUUAGUGAAUACUGAAUCUUUACUUUGCUUGAUCUGAUUAUUUGAAGGCCUAGGUCCUGUAAAAAUACUACGUAGUAUCAUCUAGGGUAAAUCAUUUCUCUUUAUAUCCAGAAUAGAUGAUUUAUUACCUAUAUCUUUGAAGGCAACUUCAUGUGCAACAACUGUUAUACUAAGCCGCAAGCUGUUUGCAAUUUCAAGGACCUUUAGCUGAGCACAAAUUGGAUCCACUUUUGUAUAGAAGGAAUCAGACAAAAUGAAUGGAAAAUUACUUAGAUUGCAUCCAUGAUCUCAGACAAAAUGAAUGGAAGCAAGAUCUAGAUGGCAGAAUAUGAGAAACUUAGACAAAAAAUUAUAGAACAAAAUAGAAUCAGGAUGAAGGAUUUAGGGGUUACAUCCAUGGCUUAUGAAAUGAAAUAGUCGAUGAAGGGAUCGAAACAAACGAAAAAAAGGAAGAAGGUGACUAAAGAUACUGACGAGUAUACACCUGAUGAAGAGGGUGAACUGAACCACUCAAGUGAAGAGGAUGAAAAUGGGAGAAGGAAAACUGGUGUAAACAUGAGGUCUCGUUCAAAGAAGGUUGUGGCAUUGAGAGGGAAGAUAACCACAAACAUUAAGGACACGGCAGGUGUCUCUUUGACUAAGAUGCGUCUUCAAAACACCGAGAGACAACACUUAGAUCACAUGGCUAGUUAAUUUCAGGUUGUGGCAUUGAGAGGAAAGUGAUUUAUUACUACGAUGACAACUACAACCUAUUAACAUGGCUAGUUCACAAGUGCAUUUAGGGAGUUCACAAGCACAAAGUUUUUCUCAACCACAAAGAUUUGGACAUGACUUACAGCAAAAUUAUGAGAAUCAUAUGGGUUCUUAAAGCCCUAUAAAGACCAAAUUGUGAAAGAAAUUGUAACAGAAUUAAUGAAGACGCUCAAGCAAAUUGAUCCUAAAGUGUUGGAUACUUUGACUCGAUCACUUGAAAAUGUGUCAUCCAAUCCAGAACUUACAUAUCAUAUUCCCAUUGUACACUCUAAUGAACAACAGCGAAAUGAGGAUCCAGUGGAUCAAGAUGAAGAAUUAGGAUGGCAAUUGAUGAUGCUACAAGAACUUACUUUUACCGCUGUUUUGUUGUUGCUACCGCUGUUUUGCUGCUGUUUUUUGCUGUUACUUCUGUUUUUUCGCUGCUACUGUUGCUGACUCUUGCUACUUCGGUUAGCUGUCACUACUCUCUGCUACUGCUGGUUGCUGCCAACUGCUGUCUGCUAUUGCUGGAAGCUGCCACUCCUGUCUGCUAAUGCUGGUUGAUGCUAAAGACUGCGGCUAGCAGCUUCUGUUACUGCUUUUGCCAUUUUGCUAGCUACGUAGCUGCUGCCAUUCUACUAGCUAGCUGUGUAGCUGCUGCUAUACGCUGUUAUUAAUAUUAUUUACUGUUAUCGCUGACUUUUUUGAAAUUUGGAAGUUUUUUGUUUUUCCUUACUUUUUCCAAGCUAGAGAUCGAACUUAAUUUUCUUUGUGUUUGGAUUAUUAUAUUGUUUGGCCAAACAUUAAAAUUGGUGUUUAUGGAUUUUUUUUUGUAAGAAUUAUGAAAGUAUUUCAAUCCAAAUUGUUUUCUAUUA
Chenopodium quinoa (quinoa) is the source of this 1999-nucleotide long non-coding RNA. RefSeq lists it as uncharacterized. The transcript is spliced from 4 exons. NCBI's taxonomy places the organism in Eukaryota, Viridiplantae, Streptophyta, Magnoliopsida, Caryophyllales, Amaranthaceae. The record is from RefSeq and is a predicted model, not a curated record.